GAUCCCGAGCCUCUCCCGGAGUGGAAGGCUCUGAAAGAAAACAUAAAACAGGGGGCGUGAGAACUAUAAUUUAUAGUUCCCAGUGGGCAAUUACUGACCUUAGCAAAAUGCACCACUAGGCCCAAGUCAUGAGCAGUUAUAGAAAAUGAAAUAACAACUGCGGAAAUAAAAGCAUAUAAUGAAAUGCUAUACUACUAUGCCACAAGUAUACAUGAUAUGAACAUGGAGUACAUCUACUCUAUCAUGAAUCCAAUAUGCCGAUACAUAACAAGUAUGCUCUAUCAUGGCUACCAAGUAAGCUGUGAUGCAACAAGUAAUACUAUCAAGUAUACAAUAUGUCCCAAAAUUCAAUACAUAUCUAGUAUGUACUAUCAUGGCAACUAAGGGUACCACAAAUCCCAAUGUCAGCUAAAUCCAACUACGAUAUACUAUCAAGUAGUGAUUGUCAUUUAAUCGAUUAAGGUUCAUCAUUCAAUCUCAUCCAGGACCAACACAUGUGUAGUCCAACUUGUGCCGCCUAGCUGCCGGUGGUAG
RNAcentral lists this long non-coding RNA (534 nucleotides) under Ananas comosus (pineapple). Its description in RNAcentral is "long non-coding RNA (ACOM_LNC041549)". The record is from RNAcentral. Lineage: Eukaryota; Viridiplantae; Streptophyta; Magnoliopsida; Poales; Bromeliaceae.